GAGCCGGUGCCCGCCGCCCGCUCGUGGGCGCCGGCGGGCGCGGCGCGAAACGGGAGUGGGCGAUGAGCUGAGCGAUCGAAAUUGUGACCCACAAAAUUUCAGUCGAGAAACGGAGAGGCUAGAGCUCCGUGCUUCCGCCAGUGAAAAUAGAAUUUCCACAAGAGGCAGAAAUGGACAGAAUACACCUCGGCCGCGUUCAGCACCGGGCAGGGGAAAUACUGGUGAAUUUAAACUGAUUUUGCCAAGGAAGAAAAAUAUUAAAGGCAUGUGGGGAAACGUUAGUUUCCCGCUAGUGUGUUCUGAUCGAAAUCUAACUAUAUGCAGAACCUAUGGCCGAAACUAGUUUCCUAAAAAGGGGAAAUAUUUUGCUCUUUCCAUAAGAAGUGCGUGUUUGUAAUACAUA
Vidua chalybeata is the source of this 403-nucleotide long non-coding RNA. RefSeq lists it as uncharacterized. The transcript is spliced from 2 exons. The record is from RefSeq and is a predicted model, not a curated record. NCBI's taxonomy places the organism in Eukaryota, Metazoa, Chordata, Aves, Passeriformes, Viduidae.